UGAGGAAUAUUGGUCAAUGGGCGAGAGCCUGAACCAGCCAAGUAGCGUGCAGGAUGACGGCCCUACGGGUUGUAAACUGCUUUUGCGGGAGAAUAAAGGUGGCCACGCGUGGCCAUUUGCAGGUAUCCCGUGAAUAAGGACCGGCUAAUUCCGUGCCAGCAGCCGCGGUAAUACGGAGGAUGCGAGCGUUAUCCGGAUUUAUUGGGUUUAAAGGGUGCGCAGGCGGCGCGCCAAGUCAGCGGUCAAAGUUCCGGGCCCAACCCGGUGUCGCCGUUGAAACUGGCGUGCUCGAGUGCGUGCGAGGAAGGCGGAAUGCGUUGUGUAGCGGUGAAAUGCAUAGAUAUGACGCAGAACUCCGAUUGCGAAGGCAGCUUUCCAGCGCGCUACUGACGCUGAGGCACGAAAGCGUGGG
Molecule: ribosomal RNA, 412 nt
Filed under: uncultured Porphyromonas sp.
Lineage: Bacteria; Pseudomonadati; Bacteroidota; Bacteroidia; Bacteroidales; Porphyromonadaceae
Description: bacterial SSU rRNA
Rfam family: Bacterial small subunit ribosomal RNA
Source: RNAcentral